Molecule: unclassified non-coding RNA, 246 nt
Filed under: uncultured fungus
Lineage: Eukaryota; Fungi
Description: partial contains 5.8S ribosomal RNA, internal transcribed spacer 2, and large subunit ribosomal RNA
Rfam family: 5.8S ribosomal RNA (bases 1-52)
Source: RNAcentral
AACGCACAUUGCGCCCUUUGGUAUUCCGAAGGGCAUGCCUGUUCGAGCGUCAUUGCAAACCCUCAAGCCCCGCUUGGUCUUGGGCGCAGGUCCCCGCGGACCCGCCCGUAACCCGUCGGCGGCACCGUCCGGCUCUCAGCGUAGCAAGAACUUUCACUCGCUUCGGAGCUCGUGGCGGCGCCCGCCUGGAAAGCAACGCACCCGUAGUUUGACCUCGGAUCAGGUAGGGAUACCCGCUGAACUUAA